GGGCCCGCACAAGCGGUGGAGCAUGUGGUUUAAUUCGAUGAUACGCGAGGAACCUUACCAGGGCUUAAAUGUAGUGGGACAGGUCUAGAGAUAGACCCUUCUUCGGACUCAUUACAAGGUGCUGCAUGGUUGUCGUCAGCCCGUGCCGUGAGGUGUCAGGUUAAGUCCUAUAACGAGCGCAACCCCUAUCGUUAGUUGCCAGCGAGUAAUGUCGGGAACUCUAACGAAACUGCCAGUGCAAACUGUGAGGAAGGUGGGGAUGACGUCAAAUCAUCACGGCCCUUACGUGUUGGGCUACACACGUGCUACAAUGGUAUCUACAACAGGAAGCAAGACUGCGAAGUUAAGCAAAUCCUUAAAAGAUACCUCAGUUCGGAUUGCACUCUGCAACUCGAGUGCAUGAAGCUGGAAUU
RNAcentral lists this ribosomal RNA (413 nucleotides) under uncultured bacterium. RNAcentral's name for it is "bacterial SSU rRNA". It matches the Rfam family "Bacterial small subunit ribosomal RNA", at positions 917 to 1333 of the family's 1533-position model. The record is from RNAcentral.